CCUACGGGAGGCAGCAGUGGGGAAUAUUGCACAAUGGGGGAAACCCUGAUGCAGCGACGCCGCGUGAGUGAAGAAGUAUCUCGGUACGUAAAGCUCUAUCAGCAGGGAAGAAAAUGACGGUACCUGACUAAGAAGCCCCGGCGAACUACGUGCCAGCAGCCGCGGGAAUACGUAGGGGGCAAGCGUUAUCCGGAUUUACGGGGUGUAAAGGGAGCGUAGACGGCAGCACAAGUCUGGAGUGAAAUCGCGGGGCUUAACCACGGAACUGCUUUGGGAACUGUGCGGCUGGAGUGCAGGAGGGGUAAGCGGAAUUCCUAGUGUAGCGGUGAAAUGCGUAGAUAUUAGGAGGAACACCGGUGGCGAAGGCGGCUUACUGGACUGUAACUGACGUUGAGGCUCGAAAGCGUGGGGAGCAAACAGGAUUAGAUAGUAGUC
Molecule: ribosomal RNA, 435 nt
Filed under: uncultured bacterium
Lineage: Bacteria
Description: partial 16S ribosomal RNA
Rfam family: Bacterial small subunit ribosomal RNA
Source: RNAcentral